AACUCAAAUCUUCAAUCUUUAGAUCAUCUCUCCAAAAAAAUCUGGCAGGUUCCAACGUUUUCAUUUUAAUAGCUUGCUUCAUUUUGUUGGGUUUUUCAAGUAUGGAGGUUAGCCUAGCAACUCGAAAUAUUCAGCACGUGUCACUAAUUGAAGUGUCACCAAUAACAUUGUCGUUAUUCCCACCAUUGCCACCAAUAAGAUCUCCGUUCUUGCCACCAAUACCGCCAAUAACAUUGCCACCAAUGACAUUGGCACCAAUAACAUUGACACCAACAGGUACACCAAUCGAGGAACCAACAGAUCCACCAACCGAGAAACCAACAGAUCCACCAACUGAGGUACCAACAUUGCCUUGAAUCCCAAAGCUACCAACAAUCCCACCAUCUUAGCCUAAGCCUAUCACUGUUCUUCCACAAGUUCCCAGCAAUAGCUUGCCUUCCAUUCCUUUCAUGUCUCCAUCUCCACCUCCAUCCAGCUAUUGAAGACAAUUUGAUUCCUAAUUAGUAUCACAUAUAUUACUGAGAAUGAACUCUGUCAUCACAUUCUCUAUGAUGUUAUUUCAUGAAAUAAGAAUGUAGUUUCUAUUUACAUUUUACAUAUAUAAUAAAGUGUGGUGUUUUUUUUAAGUUAUUAAAUUAUUAAAAUUAUAUAUCCAAAAAUAUAAACAUGAUUAAAUGUUAUACAAUCAUUUAUAAAGGUAUUAUAAUUGAUGCUAUCAACUCCAACAUAGUUAUACUUCAGGAAAAAAAAACAUAACAUAAUCACUUGCCGAUGAAUGAUGUGAUUAUUUUAGGUAUAAUUGCAAAAAAAUCCUCAACGUUUGGGGACUUUUGGUUUUGUGCCUUUGACCUUUUUUUUAUUGACACCCUCAACAUUAUAAUUUUUUUUCAGAAAUUAGCCUAAUUUUAACAAUAAAUGUGAGUUAACCGUCAAUCAAGCGCCGAUCAACGAAAUAAGUCUAUGUGGCAUACCACAUAAGCACGAUGACAUCAUCUAAAAAUUUGUUUAACAAUUUUUUUUUUCAUUUUGUUUCCUUCUUUCUUCUUCUCUCUUUCUCUCUUCCUGCUAUUACAGUAAAAACACACCCACCCACCACCAUUUUCAUCAGAGCCCACACCUGUAUUUCACUCUCUCAAAUACGCAUUUCAACUGAAUAUAUUUAUGUUUUAAUCUAAUGACAAAAAUUAAUAGAUAAAAAUAAUUCCAAAAAGAAUUAAAUGCAAAAAGAAUCUUUCAAAUUUUAAAAAAUGAAAUACCCUUUUUAUAUUCAUAGUACCCAGAAUCACAAUUAUCUCCGCAACUACCAUAAUGUAGUCUUUUCAAAUCACCAAAAACAUCAGAAUAUGAAGCCAGGGGAGGCAACUUGACUCCAAUCUCUUCAACCCCAUCACUACUGUUCUUACCCUUAACAACCUCCACCGAAAGCGAUCGUAAUGAAUUAGGAGUAGCGAUGACCCAAACCCCAUUCGAGGUCUCAUUUUUUACCCGAACCCUAUCAUCGUUCUCAGAACCUUUACGGGGUGGAGGCGGGGCGACGAAAGUAAUCAAACCCCAAGCUUCCAAGAAGCAAAAGACCUUGUGGAGUAAAGUGACGUCGUCGAUGAGGGAUUUGUGAAUUUCGGUGAAAGUGAAGCGGUGAGAAGGGUCUUCCCUGUAUUUAUUGAUGAUGAAAUCCCUGUACUCCUUGUAGAAUUUAGGGGUUCUUGAGAUUGAGCUACCUUCAAAGAAUUCUUUCAAUGCUUGCCUUUAUAUUUCGUGAAUAUUGUUCCAAGCAAACCAACCUAAGAAGAAGAAAAAGAAGAAGAAGAAAGAAAUGAGAUUUUUCAUUAGGGUUUUGGAGAAGGGGAAUAUUGAUUAAUAAAUUAAAAAGAAGGAACUUACUAGAGUAGCUCGGUAUAGUAGAAAGGUCGAGCUCUGGUUUUUCAGGUCGAUUUGAAUCUGAUGUGGGCUCUGAUGAAAAUGGUGGUGGUGUGUGUGUGUGUUUUACUAUAACAAUAGGGAAUAGAGAAAGAGAGAAGAAGAAAGAAAGAAACAACAUGAAAAAAAAAUUGUUCAACAAAAUUGUUUAGAUGACAUAAUCGUGCUUAUGUGGCAUGCCACAUAGGCUAAUUUCAUUGAUUGGCGCUUGACUGAUGGUCAACUCACAUUUACCAUUAAAAUUGCGCUGAUUUCUGAAAAAAUUAUAACGUUGAAGGUGUCAAUAAAAAAAAGGUCAAGAGCACAAAACCAAAAGCCCCCAAACAUUGAGGUUUUUUUUU
RNAcentral lists this long non-coding RNA (2258 nucleotides) under Gossypium barbadense (sea-island cotton). RNAcentral describes it as "long non-coding RNA (GBAR_LNC002662)". Lineage: Eukaryota; Viridiplantae; Streptophyta; Magnoliopsida; Malvales; Malvaceae. The record is from RNAcentral.